This is a long non-coding RNA of Homo sapiens (human), 2015 nucleotides long. RefSeq annotates it as PDCD4 antisense RNA 1. NCBI's taxonomy places the organism in Eukaryota, Metazoa, Chordata, Mammalia, Primates, Hominidae. The transcript has a single exon. The record is from RefSeq and is marked predicted.
CACACACGCACACACACACACACAAACCUUCACUGGCUUCCCAUUGCCUCUCUUGAGUGUCAGCGCCUCGGUCGGUCAUUCAAGGCUCCGUGAUGUGACUUCAAGACUUUCAGGCUGUGUCUCCACACAUCUCCCCAUAUGCUUCCUCACCCCCUGGUAGUUCUUUAUAUAUCACCUUGAAAUGUCUCUCUUCUCAUCUCCUAUCUCCGCCUGAUGCAAUCCUUCUGUGCCUCAUGGCCCUUCCUGGUAGUUUUUUAUUUUGUUGUUGUUGUUGUUUUAUUUAAUUGAGGCAGGGGCUUGCCCUUUAGCCCAGGAGAAUGCAGUGGCAUGAUCACAGCUCACUGCUGCCUCGACCUCCGUCAGCCUCCCUAGCUCAACGAUCCUCUCACCUCAGCCUCCUGAGUAACUGGGACUACAGGCACAGCUCACUAUGCCCAGCUAAUUUUUGUAUUUUCUGUACACACAGGGUUUCAUCAUGUUGUCCAGGCUGGUCUUGAACUCCUGGGCUCAAGCAAUCAGCCCACCUCUGCCUCCCAAAGCGUUGAGAUUACAAGCGUGAGCCACCAUUCCUGGACCCUCGUAGUUUUUCUGGAGCCUCGUGAUUUGAUAUGAUCUUCCUGCCGCUGAUUCCUCACAGUGUUGGCUUGCCACACCUCCAGGGGCACUGAUCACAUUCUACCUGGCAUUAUUUCAUCUGAGUCCCUGUCCUAGCCCUUCUGCCCAUUAGACUGUAACCUUGUUUAGGGAAAGACCUGUGUCUUACUCAUCUGUGAUUUUGUUGUUGUUGUUGUUUUGAGACAGGGUCUUGCCCUGUUGCCCAGGCUGGAGAGCAGUGGUGCAAUCUUGGCUCACUGCAGCCUCAACCUGUUGGGGUCAAGCCAUCCUCCCACCUCAGCUUUCCAAGUAGCUGAGACUACAGGCCUGUGCCACCACACCCAGCUAGUUUUUUGUAUUUUUAGUAGAGAUGGGGUUUUGCCAUGUUGCCCAGGCUUCUCUUGAACUCCUGAGCUCAAGGGAUCUGCCUGCCUCGGCCUCCCAAAGUGCUGGGAUUACAGGCGUGAGCCACUGUGCCUGACCCACUCACCUGUCAUUGUAGUACUUAAGAUGCCUUGUUCAUUUAUUGUGCCUGUGCAAUAAAUACACCUUGAUUUGAGUUUACAAAGAUUCUCAGCAGUUGGUGGUCAUCCUCAUCUCCUGGGCGGGGGCCUCCUGGUGUGGCCAGUAUCUGAAUUAGUCUCAUAACUCAUGUUCACUUUUUAAAAUCGGAGCUUCCCAGACCUCAGUUUUGUUUUGUUAUUUUCCAUUAUCUGCAGCUGUCUCCUUUCCCCUCUCUCACCUAUACUCUACUGAUCAGUGACUGCUGGCUCCUUUGUUACCCAUCCUUCUCUUUCUCCACAUUUUUUCUCUUCUCAUCCCUUUCAGUUCUGGACUGUUUCCUUCUUCCUCCCUGUCUUUCAUUUAGUCAUUCAUUGAAUGUACUUACUAAGCACAUAUAGCAUAAUCAGGCUGUGUUGGGUAGGCAUCCCGAGUUCUAUGAGAUAAAGAAAGAAUGGGAUAUGAUUACCAAUUUUAAGAAGCAUCUAAAACAACCUGUUAUGUUUUAGCAAAUUGCCCCCAAAGGACCCAUUAGGGAGGAAAACGUUCAUGUCCUUUUUGCGUAUCAUCUCAAGCAGUACCCAUGAUGGCUGGGAUCCCAGAACCCACCUUUGAGAAUGCUGCCGUAUUUGCGUGUGGUUGACAAGGUUGGGCCAGACACUCAGGAAAUAGGGUUGUCGUCCUACCUCCCCCACUAACUUCCUGUAAGAACUUCAGCCCCUCUCAGGACCUUUUUCUUUACCAAUAAAAUUCAGAAAUUGGGCUCAAUCAGUAAUUCCCAAGUUAUUUUCCAAAGAACAUGAAUUUUGUGGAACUUUAAUAGAUAUCAUGCAAAAAAAAAUGUGGGAGGGAUUGUUCCAUGGUCAAAUGGUCUUGGAAAUAACUCGUUUAAACAAAAAUAAAACUGUUUCUUUACCCAC